Molecule: ribosomal RNA, 225 nt
Filed under: uncultured bacterium
Lineage: Bacteria
Description: partial 16S ribosomal RNA
Rfam family: Bacterial small subunit ribosomal RNA
Source: RNAcentral
GAUCAUGGCUCAGGAUGAACGCUAGCUACAGGCUUAACACAUGCAAGUCGAGGGGCAGCAUGGUCUUAGCUUGCAAAGACUGAUGGCGACCGGCGCACGGGUGAGUAACACGUAUCCAACCUGCCGUCUACUCUUGGACAGCCUUCUGAAAGGAAGAUUAAUACAAGAUGGCAUCAUAAGUCCGCAUGUUCAUAUGAUUAAAGGUAUUCCGGUAGACGAUGGGGG